Molecule: transfer RNA, 73 nt
Filed under: Holosporaceae bacterium
Lineage: Bacteria; Pseudomonadati; Pseudomonadota; Alphaproteobacteria; Holosporales; Holosporaceae
Description: tRNA-Thr
Rfam family: tRNA
About the family: Transfer RNA (tRNA) molecules are approximately 80 nucleotides in length.
Source: RNAcentral
GCCGAGCUAGCUCAGUUGGUAGAGCAACUGAUUUGUAAUCAGUAGGUCGUUGGUUCGAAUCCGACGCUCGGCA